UACGAAAGGUGCAAGCGUUACUCGGAAUCACUGGGCGUAAAGCGCACGUAGGCGGACUCGUAGGUCAAUUGUGAAAUACCUGGGCUCAACCCAGGAACUGCAGUUGAAACCACUUGUCUUGAAUACCUGAGAGGGUGGGGGAAUACCUGGUGGAGAAGUGAAAUUCGUAGAGAUCAGGUGGAACACCGGAGGCGAAGGCGCCUGCCUGGCAGUGUAUUGACGCCGAGGUGCGAAAGUGCGGGGAGCAAACAGG
This 253-nucleotide ribosomal RNA is filed under the name uncultured bacterium. RNAcentral describes it as "partial 16S ribosomal RNA". It matches the Rfam family "Bacterial small subunit ribosomal RNA", at positions 524 to 776 of the family's 1533-position model. The record is from RNAcentral.